RNAcentral lists this ribosomal RNA (21 nucleotides) under Schistosoma japonicum. Its description in RNAcentral is "partial 5.8S ribosomal RNA". Lineage: Eukaryota; Metazoa; Platyhelminthes; Trematoda; Strigeidida; Schistosomatidae. The record is from RNAcentral.
CAACUUUGAACCGGGAAUUAC